Molecule: ribosomal RNA, 497 nt
Filed under: uncultured bacterium
Lineage: Bacteria
Description: partial 16S ribosomal RNA
Rfam family: Bacterial small subunit ribosomal RNA
Source: RNAcentral
GACGAACGCUGGCGGCGUGCCUAAUACAUGCAAGUUGAGCGCUGAAGGUUGGUACUUGUACCAACUGGAUGAGCAGCGAACGGGUGAGUAACGCGUGGGGAAUCUGCCUUUGAGCGGGGGACAACAUUUGGAAACGAAUGCUAAUACCGCAUAAAAACUUUAAACACAAGUUUUAAGUUUGAAAGAUGCAAUUGCAUCACUCAAAGAUGAUCCCGCGCUGUAUUAGCUAGUUGGUGAGGUAAAGGCUCACCAAGGCGAUGAUACAUAGCCGACCUGAGAGGGUGAUCGGCCACAUUGGGACUGAGACACGGCCCAAAUUCCUACGGGAGGCAGCAGUAGGGAAUCUUCGGCAAUGGACGAAAGUCUGACCGAGCAACGCCGCGUGAGUGAAGAAGGUUUUCGGAUCGUAAAACUCUGUUGGUAGAGAAGAACGUUGGUGAGAGUGGAAAGCUCAUCGAGUGACGGUAACUACCCAGAAAGGGACGGCUAACUACGUG